UACGUACUGUGCGAACGUUAUUCGGAAUCACUGGGCUUAAAGGGUGCGUAGGCGGCCAAUUAAGUAGGGUGUGAAAUCCCCCGGCUCAACCGGGGAAUUGCGCUCUAAACUGAUUGGCUUGAGUGAGAUAGGGGUGUGCGGAACUUCCAGUGGAGCGGUGAAAUGUGUUGAUAUUGGAAGGAACGCCGGUAGCGAAAGCGGCACACUGGGUCUCAACUGACGCUGAGGCACGAAAGCCAGGGUAGCGAACGGGAUUAGAUACCCCGGUAGUCCUGGCUGUAAACGAUGAGUACUAGUUGGGAGGGGCUUCGGCCUCUCCGAACGCAGCGAAAGCAUUAAGUACUCCGCCUGGGGAGUAUGGUCGCAAGGCUGAA
This 374-nucleotide ribosomal RNA is filed under the name uncultured bacterium. Its description in RNAcentral is "bacterial SSU rRNA". It matches the Rfam family "Bacterial small subunit ribosomal RNA", at positions 524 to 898 of the family's 1533-position model. The record is from RNAcentral.